RNAcentral lists this ribosomal RNA (395 nucleotides) under Veillonella atypica. Its description in RNAcentral is "bacterial SSU rRNA". It matches the Rfam family "Bacterial small subunit ribosomal RNA", at positions 117 to 487 of the family's 1533-position model. Lineage: Bacteria; Bacillati; Bacillota; Negativicutes; Veillonellales; Veillonellaceae. The record is from RNAcentral.
GUAAUCAACCUGCCCUUCAGAGGGGGACAACAGUUGGAAACGACUGCUAAUACCGCAUACGAAUCCCCUCUCGGCAUCGAGAGUGGAUGAAAGGUGGCCUCUAUUAAUAAGCUAUCACUGAAGGAGGGGAUUGCGUCUGAUUAGCUAGUUGGAGGGGUAACGGCCCACCAAGGCGAUGAUCAGUAGCCGGUCUGAGAGGAUGAACGGCCACAUUGGGACUGAGACACGGCCCAGACUCCUACGGGAGGCAGCAGUGGGGAAUCUUCUCGCAAUGGACGAAAGUCUGACGGAGCAACGCCGCGUGAGUGAUGACCGGCUUCGGGUUGUAAAGCUCUGUUAAUCGGGACGAAUGGUUCUUGUGCGAAUAGUGCGAGGAUUUGACGUACCGGAAUAGA